Hemicordylus capensis (graceful crag lizard) is the source of this 592-nucleotide long non-coding RNA. RefSeq lists it as uncharacterized. The record is from RefSeq and is a predicted model, not a curated record. The transcript has 4 exons. NCBI's taxonomy places the organism in Eukaryota, Metazoa, Chordata, Lepidosauria, Squamata, Cordylidae.
CACAUGCAGCGGCAGGUAAAAUGUCUGCCCCUAAAAGCAGUAAACGGGGUCACAGCAGUGAUUACUGAGGCCGGUGGGGGGAGGGGGAACCUUUGUGGACCCCCCACUGUGGCCUUUAGGAAGCCCCCCGAAGGGGCUAGAGGUUGCCACCUUUUUACUGACCUUGCUCCUCUGCCUACUGACCCACAGAAAUUGCCGGACAAUAUAGGGGUUGUCUAUCCUUCAAAACUCAGGAUGUGAACAGGAUGAAUGGGAUGACACAAGAAGCUUCCCUAUGAGACUGGAAGAAUCAUCUGGCUGCACCAAACAAGUCUGAGCAGUUAUGGAGUUUUCAUCCAAUGAGUGAGGCUUUGGCAUGGUUCCUUAAUGCUGACACUACCUUCAGGUGCUUCAGAAAUUGAAUCCGUGUUCAGCAUGAUGCCUCAAAGGUUGUUACAGCAGCAACAAUAACAUCCAGACAAAUGCACAGAAUGUCAAGAUAAUUUUCAUCUGUUGUUACUGGGGGAAUUGACAAAGAAGAUUGGCACUAGACAGCUUUUGCUCUCAGGAGGGUUGUUUGGACUGGUAUGUAAUACAGUUGAGAACAAUAAAA